CGGAGAAUAGUCUAAUUAGGAUAUCGGCCUUGGAUGUCGAGGGUGAGGAUUAAAGUUCCUUUUGUUCGA
This 69-nucleotide transfer RNA is filed under the name Oscaecilia ochrocephala. Its description in RNAcentral is "tRNA-Pro". It matches the Rfam family "tRNA". From Rfam's summary of the family: Transfer RNA (tRNA) molecules are approximately 80 nucleotides in length. Their secondary structure includes four short double-helical elements and three loops (D, anti-codon, and T loops). Further hydrogen bonds mediate the characteristic L-shaped molecular structure. tRNAs have two regions of fundamental functional importance: the anti-codon, which is responsible for specific mRNA codon recognition, and the 3' end, to which the tRNAs corresponding amino acid is attached (by aminoacyl-tRNA synthetases). tRNAs cope with the degeneracy of the genetic code in two manners: having more than one tRNA (with a specific anti-codon) for a particular amino acid; and 'wobble' base-pairing, i.e. permitting non-standard base-pairing at the 3rd anti-codon position. Lineage: Eukaryota; Metazoa; Chordata; Amphibia; Gymnophiona; Caeciliidae. The record is from RNAcentral.